GAUCAACUCAGAGAUCUUGGAAGAGAGAUUGUCAAGGAAGAGGGCAUUACGAAUCUUGAGAAGCGCAGCAGGUUGUGGUGUCCGAUAACCGCCUUAGAUGUGGUUAAGAAUAACCUGGUAUGUCUAAAAAAACUAAGCAGGCAAUUAUGUGUAUUUAAAGUUCAUUUUCAUCCAAAAUGUUUGCUCAUUUUUGUACACAGGACAUUGAUGAUUUUGCAUAAUUUGAGAGAAAUGAACAACAUUCUAAAAUAACUAAUUUUUACCAUUACGACUCCCAUGUAAAUGGGAGAGAUAAUGAUUCAGGGAAAUUGCCCCUUUUUGUACAAGAUAAUAUGUAUGUGCCUUGUUUUUUUUUUUUUUUUUGUUGGUUCACCCAUGUUUACUAUUAGUUGAAUUUAGAUAUAUCCUCCCUAUUUUGAUAUUUAGUACUUACUCUGAAUGGUUCAAUCAUGUUGCUAACUUGUUGCUUUGGAAAUAUCAGGAAACAAAAAACAUUGAAACACUCAAACUCACGGGACUUGCCGACGGGCAUAAUUUUACAAGAGAAGAAUUUUCAAGGCUGCCUAGUUUAAGGUUCCUCGAAUUAGAUGGGGGAAACUUUGUAGGAGACUUUAAAAAUCUUCUCUUAAAUCUAAGAUGGCUCUCUUGGUGUCAUUGCCCUUUAAACCUACAGGCCAACGGUUUAUGUCUAAAGAACUUGGCUGUUCUCAAGCUUUCAG
RNAcentral lists this long non-coding RNA (719 nucleotides) under Eucalyptus grandis. RNAcentral describes it as "long non-coding RNA (EGRA_LNC006853)". Lineage: Eukaryota; Viridiplantae; Streptophyta; Magnoliopsida; Myrtales; Myrtaceae. The record is from RNAcentral.